ACUCCUACGGGAGGCAGCAGUGGGGAAUAUUGCACAAUGGGAAAGCCAUCGAUGCAGCCAUGCCGCGCUGUGUGAAGAAGGCCAAUUCGGGCUUUGGUUAAAGACACUUUCAGUAGGGAGGAAGGUAGUGUAGUUAACACCUGCAUUAUUUGACGUUACCUACAGAAGAAGCACCGGCUAACUCCGUGCCAGCAGCCGCGGUAAUACGGAGGGUGCGAGCGUUAAUCGGAAUUACUGGGCGUAAAGCGCAUGCAGGCGGCCUGUUAAGUCAGAUGUGAAAGCCCGGGCUU
Molecule: ribosomal RNA, 290 nt
Filed under: uncultured bacterium
Lineage: Bacteria
Description: partial 16S ribosomal RNA
Rfam family: Bacterial small subunit ribosomal RNA
Source: RNAcentral